This 78-nucleotide transfer RNA is filed under the name Xanthomonas arboricola pv. pruni. RNAcentral describes it as "transfer RNA-Ala". It matches the Rfam family "tRNA". Rfam says of the family: Transfer RNA (tRNA) molecules are approximately 80 nucleotides in length. Their secondary structure includes four short double-helical elements and three loops (D, anti-codon, and T loops). Further hydrogen bonds mediate the characteristic L-shaped molecular structure. tRNAs have two regions of fundamental functional importance: the anti-codon, which is responsible for specific mRNA codon recognition, and the 3' end, to which the tRNAs corresponding amino acid is attached (by aminoacyl-tRNA synthetases). tRNAs cope with the degeneracy of the genetic code in two manners: having more than one tRNA (with a specific anti-codon) for a particular amino acid; and 'wobble' base-pairing, i.e. permitting non-standard base-pairing at the 3rd anti-codon position. Lineage: Bacteria; Pseudomonadati; Pseudomonadota; Gammaproteobacteria; Lysobacterales; Lysobacteraceae. The record is from RNAcentral.
UUGGGGCCUUAGCUCAGCUGGGAGAGCACCUGCUUUGCAAGCAGGGGGUCGUCGGUUCGAUCCCGACAGGCUCCACCA